Molecule: small nucleolar RNA, 75 nt
Organism: Physella acuta
Lineage: Eukaryota; Metazoa; Mollusca; Gastropoda; Physidae
Source: RefSeq, a predicted model, not a curated record
AUGGAAGUGAUGACAAUUCAACUUUUUUGAUGCAGCAAGAAUGAUUGUUGCUUGUAUUCGUACUGUCUGAUCCAA